This 305-nucleotide ribosomal RNA is filed under the name uncultured bacterium. RNAcentral describes it as "bacterial SSU rRNA". It matches the Rfam family "Bacterial small subunit ribosomal RNA", at positions 334 to 655 of the family's 1533-position model. The record is from RNAcentral.
UUAGCCUACGGGGGGCAGCAGUGGGGGAUAUUGCACAAUGGGGGAAACCCUGAUGCAGCGACGCCGCGUGAGUGAAGAAGUAUUUCGGUACGUAAAGCUCUAUCAGCAGGGAAGAAUAAUGACGGUACCUGACUAAGAAGCCCCGGCUAACUACGUGCCAGCAGCCGCGGUAAUACGUAGGGGGCAAGCGUUAUCCGGAUUUACUGGGUGUAAAGGGAGCGUAGACGGUGAUGCAAGUCAGAAGUGAAAGCCCGCGGCUCAACUGCGGGACUGCUUUUGAAACUGUAUGACUGGAGUGCAGGAGG